This 1054-nucleotide unclassified non-coding RNA is filed under the name Hevea brasiliensis (rubber tree). Lineage: Eukaryota; Viridiplantae; Streptophyta; Magnoliopsida; Malpighiales; Euphorbiaceae. The record is from RNAcentral.
UUUCUUUUCAAUUCCGAUUUACGUAGACAGACCUCAAACUAGAACACCCGCGAAAAGCCACCAUUACAAGAACUUUAGCGCAUCUGCAUGUGAGAAGCUUUUUCUAUUCUCACAUGAACUUCUAUAUUCAAUUUCACUCAUUAUUUGCAUCAAUCUGCAUGCUUUUUGCCCUGAAUCUGGUGGGAUUUGGUUUGUUGCAGCCUAAUGGGUUGUAUGCGAGGCAGGUUUCCCUUUCUUUCAACAAUUUUAUUUAUUUAUUUGGUUUUUUCUUGGAAAAUUUAUGAGAAAUUCUGUGAGUGUAGAUAAAAUUGCUAUUUAUGUAGACAAUGGCACGAUUACUCUGGAGGAGCAAGGAUUGUUAAGUGAAGGUUCUGUUGAAUAUGGGUCGCCUUCGAUUGCUAGGGUCACUAGUGGAGAAUCAUCAUCAACACUGUAGAGGAAGAAUAAGAAGAAGAUGAAAAAGAAGUUCGCAUCCUUGCAAUCAUCGUCUAAUUCGUCUAAAAGCGCAGCAACCUUAGGUGAAUUGGACCUUGAGGAGCGGAGAAAUUCAGUGAAGUCAUGUGGGAACCAGUUGCUUUGCAUCUGAUCUAGAGAUAUUUGAGAUAAUGGAGAAGGAAAGAGAGAGGCAGUAUAGGGCUCUUGAAUUGAUAGCUUCAGAGAAUUUUCUUUCCCUUCAUUCUUUCUUUCCCUUCCUUCUUUGCCCUCUAAUUCCUCUUCUUUAUUCUUCUUUUUCUUUAACAGAAUUAUUCCUUUCAGAGAAUGGAAACGAUUUUGAUCUCUGAUCUGAAUCAAGCGAUUGCAGCAUCACCCCUACUUCAACAACCCAGCCCUUUCCAAGGUAAAGUAGUAGGUCAUGAUCGGUGAAGUGAAUGAUCAACCAUUGUGUAAGUGCGCUGUUAUUUUCGUACCCACCAUCUCCUGAUCCUUUUGAUGAACCAAUAGAACUGCCCAAUUUUUUUUGGGUACUUUUGCAGAAUGUUCAAUUACUACAGCAUUAUCUGGAAAUAGUUUUUCCAACAUCCUUGAGAAAGGAAGGCAGGGUGAUCUUUAAUCC